GAUCUAAUGGCGAAGCUGGUAUCGCGUCCACAUCUUAUAUCAAUGACCAGACCUCGUUUAGCGGAAGUCUCCGGUUUGAACCCGGGUUAGGUCA
Mycena latifolia is the source of this 94-nucleotide non-coding RNA. The record is from the annotation of a GenBank genome assembly. NCBI's taxonomy places the organism in Eukaryota, Fungi, Basidiomycota, Agaricomycetes, Agaricales, Mycenaceae.